RNAcentral lists this ribosomal RNA (516 nucleotides) under uncultured bacterium. Its description in RNAcentral is "partial 16S ribosomal RNA". It matches the Rfam family "Bacterial small subunit ribosomal RNA", at positions 28 to 523 of the family's 1533-position model. The record is from RNAcentral.
GACGAACGCUGGCGGCGUGCCUAACACAUGCAAGUCGAACGGAGUAUUUAGCAAUAGAUACUUAGUGGCGAACGGGUGAGUAACGCGUAGACAACCUGCCUCUAAACUGGGGACAACACCGCGAAAGUGGUGCUAAUACCGAAUGUGGUAACUUGGCUGCAUGGCUAAGUUAAGAAAGAUGGCCUCUACAUGUAAGCUAUCGUUUAGAGAUGGGUCUGCGUCUGAUUAGCUAGUUGGUGAGGUAAUGGCUCACCAAGGCGACGAUCAGUAGCCGGUCUGAGAGGAUGAACGGCCACACUGGGACUGAGACACGGCCCAGACUCCUACGGGAGGCAGCAGUGGGGAAUCUUCCGCAAUGGACGAAAGUCUGACGGAGCAACGCCGCGUGAGUGAAGAAGGUCUUCGGAUUGUAAAGCUCUGUCGUUUGGGACGAUCGUGGAUUGUGUGAAUAAUGCAGUCUAAUGACGGUACCAAAGGAGGAAGCCACGGCUAACUACGUGCCAGCCGCCGCGGUAA